Molecule: ribosomal RNA, 222 nt
Filed under: Triticum aestivum (bread wheat)
Lineage: Eukaryota; Viridiplantae; Streptophyta; Magnoliopsida; Poales; Poaceae
Description: partial small subunit ribosomal RNA
Source: RNAcentral
AUGAAUUGCUUAAGCUGGAACUGCCGGGGAGGGGGGAAUUCCCGGACAGUUCGUGAGCUGACGACCCUUUGUAGGUCAUAUUCCCACAUGUUUGUGUUCCUGUGUGAGACGAGACAGAAGGAAGCGAAGAUGAAGAGAUUAAGAGGCCGGUUUGGCUUGAAGGGCUUUUGUGGCGUUGAUAGUUCAGGCAUGAGUGGUGGCCUGGCGGUAUAUUGGCAUGAA